RNAcentral lists this long non-coding RNA (1923 nucleotides) under Helianthus annuus (common sunflower). RNAcentral's name for it is "hypothetical non coding rna". The record is from RNAcentral. Lineage: Eukaryota; Viridiplantae; Streptophyta; Magnoliopsida; Asterales; Asteraceae.
UUCACUAUCUGCAAAAACUCUAUCCAAAACAUAAGAUUUUCAUUUAUAACAAUUUUAAUCUAUGUUUAACCACUAGUAUUUGAAACACUCAAAUUUGACAUUUCAUUAAUUUGAAACCAUUUAAUCAUUUCUCAUUUCAAACAAACUCUCCCAACCUGUUGUUCAUCAUGUUUAGCACUCGGAAUUUUAAAAAUCAGCUUUCCAACAACAGUUGUCAAAAAUAAGAUGAAAUAAAAUCUUUUUGAAUUUUUCAAAAUUUUAAUGCUAAAACACAUUCUUUUUUGUCUUUAAUGAAAAGCAAUAAAGAAAUAUUUACAGACAAUAUUUUUGUGAGUUUGAGUAAGAGGACCAUAUCAGUUUUUGAGACAAAUCACUAACACUGUUAAGCUUUAAACAUUUUAAGUUCUAAACGAUUCACUUAGAUUGUCAGUAUACUGAUCCACUUAAAUUUUCACACAAAGUUCAACUGUUUCGAGAUACGAGAUUAGUGUUUUAAGGACUUAAACUUAUUCGCGUGUACCACCUCAGAAUAUACUCCCGUAUCUAGACUUCUAUAUUCAGUCUUACAGGUGAAUGUACACUAAUGAUAUUUGUAAACGGACAAAGAGAUGAUGGCUCGUCUUUAGGUGUGUCCCGUUUGGGGAUCUUUUCUUCAACAGCACAUGAUUAGCAUUUUUCAAUGUUACCGCAUUGGGCCUUCGGGCGGAUGGGUUUUCCCCGAAACUAGAGGCUUGAUGACUCAGGUAUGCAUCCAAUUCUGACCAUUAUAGAGAAGAGGAUCAUUUGUUCGAUUGACAACGGAUGCAUAUUUAGUUGGCAUUCAAAGUAUAUAUUUUCUUGAACAUUACUAUUAUUUACAAGUAUUUAUUUUUUUAAAGCACUUUCAAAAUAAGUUUAAACCUUUUUUUUUCUAGCCAAUAUAUGAGCCAAAACAUUUAAGAAGCUCAUGAUAACGCCAAAAUAUUUAAGAAGCUCAUGAUAACGCAAAUUUCGUUUGAAAAUUGAGGUCAUGUAUUCAACAAAAACCUAUCUUUGAAGAAUUCAUCUAUUAAGUAUACUAGAACAAAACUAACUUAUACCACUUGUUAUGAACUUAGGCCUAUUAUGGCCAGUUGGCAAUAAAUAUCACUCAUUCAUGUGUUUGAGCGACAAAAUCAUUCACAACCUCUUCUUCUUCUUAAUCACAAAUUCUCUUCCAUAGUUAGAUUUAAUUAACUUACCGAUUUUAUAUUCAAACCAAGAAAAUAAACAUUAUUUAUGGUAUACAAAAUUAAUUCAUUUUGUUGAUGUUACCAUUUACCAUAUAUUUAUUCUUUAUAGCUUAUUCAUAAUCUAUCUAUACUUUUAAUAAAAUGGCAAAUGCCGCUGACAUCACAAUGCUGAGUUGGCAAUCAGAUAGGCUGUCCAACAAUGCCUAUCUGAUGUCAUUAUUACAUAAUAAAUGUUAAUUUAAAAUCUUUUAAAAUACAUUUUAUCUGUACGAAAUUCAAACCUCUGCUCACUAUUCAAAAUUCAAAACCUCUGGCCACAUUCAAAAUUCAAAAUUUUGGCUCCACAUAUAUAACAUACAUGAUUUAGGAUCUACAUUCAAAAUUCAAACCAUACUUUCAAUCCAUCUCUCUCUCUCUCUCUCUCUCUCAAAUCUAGAGCUCCCAUGAUUCAGCCGGUUAAUCUCCGAUUACACAUCAGUAUUCGAACAUUUUCGUUGCUCGAUUCUUCGAAAUCUCUGUAAAGAGAUAUGUUUUACUGAUUCCGUUUAUACAUCAUCGUUCCAACGAAGCUUCCAAUUACACAUCAUCGUUCCAACGAUGCCUCGAAAUCGCUAGCUAAUCUCCGAUUACAAAUCAUCGUUCUAACACUAUCGAACAAAGAAGCUUCCAAUUCGUGGAACUCUGUAACUUUAAUAGCCCUGACAGUCAAAUA